RNAcentral lists this ribosomal RNA (497 nucleotides) under uncultured bacterium. RNAcentral describes it as "partial 16S ribosomal RNA". It matches the Rfam family "Bacterial small subunit ribosomal RNA", at positions 28 to 507 of the family's 1533-position model. The record is from RNAcentral.
GACGAACGCUGGCGGCGUGCCUAAUACAUGCAAGUUGAGCGCUGAAGGUUGGUACUUGUACCAACUGGAUGAGCAGCGAACGGGUGAGUAACGCGUGGGGAAUCUGCCUUUGAGCGGGGGACAACAUUUUGAAACGAAUGCUAAUACCGCAUAAAAACUUUAAACACAAGUUUUAAGUUUGAAAGAUGCAAUUGCAUCACUCAAAGAUGAUCCCGCGUUGUAUUAGCUAGUUGGUGAGGUAAAGGCUCACCAAGGCGAUGAUACAUAGCCGACCUGGGAGGGUGAUCGGCCACAUUGGGACUGAGACACGGCCCAAACUCCUACGGGAGGCAGCAGUAGGGAAUCUUCGGCAAUAGACGAAAGUCUGACCGAGCAACGCCGCGUGAGUGAAGAAGGUUUUCGGAUCGUAAAACUCUGUUGGUAGAGAAGAACGUUGGUGAGAGUGGAAAGCUCAUCAAGUGACGGUAACUACCCAGAAAGGGACGGCUAACUACGUG